UCUAUGAUGGAAGUAAGACCAUGGUAUUCCAUUGUACUUUCUUUCUAAUGUGCUUUCUAUACUUUUAUAUAUUUACAUUUUGAAGUACACUUACCUGAGUCUGGUUAAUGAGAUACUUUGUUAUUGUCAUUUCUUUCAGAACUGUCUUCCUAUUGCACCAGAGACCUAUUGCCAGAGCAGGGCAUAAAAGACCCAUUUCAGAAAUCAAUAAUGAGACUAUAUGGAAGCUGUGGCCUUGAAAAUAUACACUUAAGAAGAGACAUGGAGUGUGUGGGUGAGUGUAAGAAGCAGAAAGCAUGUUAUGAUGGUCGUACUCAAUGUUUGUCAACUUGUCAUAGAAAAAUCUUCAAAUGUUAUAAGUGCAUAAAAGUCUUUAGCAAAUCAUCAAAUCUAAAUAGAUACAAGACAAGACAUACUGGAGAGAAAUAUUUCAAACGUAAUGAAUGUAGUGAAACAUUUAACCAUAGAUCUAAUAUUUCCGGACAUAAGAAAAUUCAUAUGGUAGAGAAUCCUUACAAGUGUGAAGAAUGUGGAAAAGACUUUAAGCAUUCCUCCAAACUUACUGUACAUAAGAGAAUUCACACUGGAGAGAAACCCUACAAAUGUGAAGAAUGUGGCAAAGCCUUUAACCAGUCCUCAAACAUUACUUAACAUAAAAGAAUUCAUACUGGAGAGAAACCCUACAAAUGUGAAGAAUGUGGCAAAGCCUUUACCUGGUGUACAAAACUUACUAUACAUAAAAGAAUUCAUACAGGAGAGAAACCAUACAGAUGUGAAGAAUGUGGAAAAGCCUUUACCCAGUGGAGAUACCUUACUCAACAUAAAAUAAUUCAUACGGGAGAGAAACCCUACAAAUGUGAAGAAUGUGGCAAAGCCUUUACCCAGUACACACACCUUACUCAACAUAAAAGAAUUCAUACAGGAGAGAAACCCUACAAUUGUGAGGAAUGUGGCAAAGCCUUUACCCAGUGCUCAACACUUACUCAACAUAAAAGAAUUCAUACUGGAGAUAAACCCUAAAAAUGUGUAGAAUCUGGCACAGCCUUUAUCCAGCUAAAAGACCUCAUUCUACAUAAAUGAAUCCAUACAGGAGAGAAACCAUACAAAUAUGAGGAAUGUGACAAAGCAUUUUCCCAGUGCUCAUACCUUAUUCUACAUAAAAUAAUUCAUAUCAGAGAAAAAUUCUACGAAUGUGAAAAUUGUGGCAAUGUCUUUAUUAACUACUCACAUCUUAUUCAACAUCAAAGAAAUCAUACUAGAUAAAAGUUAGAUAAAUGUAAUGAGUAUGUAAGUGCCUUACCAAAGUAUUAGUCUUAAAAUGCACAACAGUACUUAUACUUAAAGUAAUCACUAAUAAUGUAGAGUGCUGACAAUACCUUUAGUUAUAACAGAGAUCUUAUCAGACAUGGGAUAACUUACACUGAAAGAAAUCCUCCAAAAUUUUCUCAAACAUUGCUCAAGAUCACAAAAAUUUUAAGGGAUAGAAACCUUACAAAUAUAAUGAAUGUGAAAAAAUAUUUAUGCAAAAGAUAUACCUUAGAGAUCAACAAUUGAUACUUAAAAUUCUUUAAUAAGUUUCAGAAUGCAAUUAAUCAAGAAUCAAGUCUAAACAUAUAUCAGAGGACUCACAGUGCAAUACACUAAUGCACUAACACAUUCACACAUUUCUUUAAACCAGGUUGUUGAUUAUAGAGAAUAACCCAGUUAAAAUAGUUAGUUGAUUUAUUUGUAUGUCAGCUUUAAAAAAGAGAGAGAUUUUCUGAGAGUUAUAAUUACAUGUAAAAUAUACUUUCUGGUCAGGGUGGGGUGAAAAUGUAAUAAAGCAUAAUUUUUUUGCUCUUUUUGACAAGCCAGUACUGAUAGUAUUCAACUUUAAAUACAGAAGAUGAUAUGCUUUCAUUCUUAGCAUGUAUGUGAAUAUGUGUGUGGUUAAUGAUAGCUACAUCACAUUUAUUAGAAGUCUUUGUGUAUUACAUAGGCAUUAUUGAUGUACUUUUCCAUGGAAAAUUAAAAACACUGAAAUGUAAGAUUUAUGAAAUGGAGAGGUACUAUGGAGCUUUCUUAUGACAAACAGUAUUUCAAGUGAUGUAUGGUGUAGGUAUACAGACUAAUAUUCUUCUCAUUAUGAUCAGAAUGAAAAAAUUACAAUAUAAGAAAUAAGUUGUUUUAUAAUUUAACAUUAUGGUAAUAACAUAGAAUGAAAUUUGGAAUGUUUUUAGAUAACAUGUAAACUUAUGUUGUUUCAUUAAAUUUUAAAAAUAUUUUUAAUGUGUCAAACAUGUUGUAUAUAGAAUGAAGUGUUAUUUUGCACCAACUUUAACCUAUACCAUGUUACUCAAAGUUGGAGGAAAUGGAUUGUAAAAAUGUACUAUUGGGUUACACAGUACAAAGACAUCAUUUGUGAUCCUUUUUAUUAGUUGCUCUACUUUGAAGAAUAUUGUUCCCAAAGCUUUUUUUUCAUUAUAUUUAUAAUUAUAUUGUUGCUGUAAUGCUUAUAAUAAAGAUUUUGCACUUAAUGAAAAGCCAUGCAUUUCUGAACACGGAAUGACCAGUUACAUUCUAUCCUAUAUUUUUCUUUUAACAUGCAGCCUGCCUCGCCAGUGAAAUAGAAAUAAGCAUAUUUUUUAUUUAUAUUGAAUCAAAUAUACAAAUACAUCACGGUUAACUUGAACUAUAGCUGUAGUAUAUUUACAGAGUAAGUAUGUUUGUGUGACUGUGGAUGUAUACUUAUUUUGAACAGAAAAGAAGAAAUAUUAGACAAAAUGGGUAAUUUCAAAAGUGUUGAGAAUUUACUAGCAAACUAGAAACUUCAAAGAUUCUGAAAGGAAAUAUUUUGUUCGCUUUAUGUUGAAUUAAUUGUUUAAAACCCUGAAGCUUCUGAAUGGGAACCUGCCCAUGUUAAUCCCCUGUUCUUACAUGCUUAUUACUCAUGCUAAGCCUACUAUGUUAUUUUAUUAUUUCAAAGUUUAUUAAGUAUUGUUUAUAUGAUCUGAUCUGCAAUUACAGCAAAGAUUGUUAUAAAACCUAAUGAUGCUCAUAAAAAUACCUGAAGGUAUGAGUAAUUCCACCAUGUAGUAAUUACAUUUUACUUAUUACAUUCUAUAUUUUCAUUCUAAUUAGGGAAGUAUAUUGAAAGCACUUUUUGGUUACUCUUUCUUUUACUUUUGGUCAUCGAACUAAUUGAUUUAUUGACUUUAUCAGGCUACUUUGUUCAGGUAAACACUAAUAGGGGUUUAUAAAUUAUAGAGUUUAUUUUAUAUUUAAAUAGAAAAAAUAAGUACAGGACAGUCUUAGAUAUGUACUAGAUGCUUAAUAAUUAGCAGUCAAUAUUUCUGUGGGAGUGAGCUUGUGACUCCAGAGAAGAGAUUGAAUAUGUCCAGGUUAAAAAAAAAGUCAUUUAUUUUACAUGUGGAGCAAAGGGACAAACAGAACAACCACCCCUCGGAAUUUAUAAGUGGAAAUUCUGCUUCUUUCAUUUCAUAAUUAUCUCCAGUUUUUCCCAUUUUUUAUCUUCAUUAUCUUCCCUUCUACAACUGUAUCGAAGCCAUUCUUCUUUCUUCCUGUGCUUGGGCUACGAUAUUCUCACUGUUGUACUCACCCCCAGCCAGUUCACACAGUUUUUAAAAAGUUUUGAUGAGAAGUGUAGAGUAUUUUUAAUUUGGAGGAAAAAAACAUUUUAACUAGAAAGCUUGAGACCAUUUACAGGCUAUACAUAUAGCAUUCUGAUUAUUUAAUUAAGAUUAGAGAAAUUCAUUGUCCUAAGGUUAAAGUAAGAGCCUUAAAGUCCUAUGAAAGAUAAACAAUUCUGAAGGCCAGAGGAUUAAAUCAAGAACUCAGCAUUGUUUGCUUUGUAAAAGCAAACUGUUACUAGAUCCUAACAUAUAAUGUCAAAAUUAUGAAAAUAAUUACAAUAAAUGAAGCAUUAAUAAGUUUGAUGCAUAUCUUAAGUACUAUAUAAAGAAAUAUGAGAACUUGGCAAUCUCUCAAUAGGGAGUUUAGGUAAAUAGGAUUGAAUUUAAUUUUCUAAGAAUUACUUAUAGUACAACAUAUGCAUCCAUCUACAAUCUAUCAGUGUGUAUUUUCAGUGUUAGAAUAUAAUAGAAUGAUUUCUCUGGAUUGAAAAUAUUUGGAAUAAUCUAUCUGGUAUUUCUAUCUUAGAGAAUUUAUUUUGCAUAACUUUAUCUUCGUUUAUUUUAGUAGGUGCAGGGUGCAGUACACAGUUCUCAUUUUUAGUCAUCUACCCUGGCUGACAAUUCGGUCAUUCUCUCUAGGGUUAUCUCAGGGAUCAUGGCGACUUUUUGAUUGAAAAUUUUAUUAGUGAUUUUGGAUCCAAUCCUGUUUUGUAUGGUCACAGUGGCCAGAGGUGAGACAGUGAGCACCACAUACCUCUUCAGUGUCUUCCAUAACAUAAUGAUCAGCACCAGGAAGUCCAGGUGUCUUUAGCUUCAAAUAAAAGCAUUAAAACCCCUUUCAUGCUCUGUGCUGGAUUAUGAAUCUCUUGGUAAAUAUCAGAGUUCCCUUGCUUAUGACUGACAAAUGGAAUGACAAAAGCAGCACUCUCACUCUGUUGCCCAGGCUAGAGUGCCAUGGCAUCAGCCUAGCUCACAGCAACUUUAAAUUUCUGGGC
Molecule: non-coding RNA, 4627 nt
Organism: Microcebus murinus (gray mouse lemur)
Lineage: Eukaryota; Metazoa; Chordata; Mammalia; Primates; Cheirogaleidae
Source: RefSeq, a predicted model, not a curated record